This is a long non-coding RNA of Sander lucioperca (pikeperch), 285 nucleotides long. RefSeq lists it as uncharacterized. The record is from RefSeq and is a predicted model, not a curated record. The transcript is spliced from 4 exons. NCBI's taxonomy places the organism in Eukaryota, Metazoa, Chordata, Actinopteri, Perciformes, Percidae.
AGUUAUUGUGGUAUACAGAUGGACUGGAGUAUGUGUCAAGUUAGCUGUUCACUGAAUAUGACGUGUAAAGCCCCGGCCAUUUCUAGCACUUAAGGUAACUGUUAUGCAUUGCUCCCGGGUUGUGACCCAGGUGAUCUCUGAAUUGUCAUGACCAGGGAUAUAACCAUGUCGACUGGCUUGGUUUGAAUUUCCAAAAGAAGGGUUGAACACUGAUCAGACAACCCUGGUGAAACCCUGGUCAGUGGUGUGAAAAAGGUAAUAGAUCAUUGCUGACAGUACGGUAUC